AAGGUAAUGGUCAAGAGGCAAAGGACAGCUUUUCCGCCAAAUUUCAUUCACUCCCUUGAUGGUUCACAUAUGAUGAUGACUGCAGUUGCAUGCAGAAGGGCUGGCUUAAACUUUGCAGGUGUUCAUGACUCGUAUUGGACGCAUGCGUGCGAUGUUGAUAAGUUGAACAGGAUAUUGAGAGAAAAGUUUGUAGAGCUUUAUGAAACGCCAAUUCUAGAGAAAUUGUUGGAGGGCUUCCAAGUUUCCUAUCCUACACUGUCAUUCCCCCCUUUGCCUGAACGUGGGGACUUUGAUUUGAGAGAUGUCAUAGAAUCUCCCUAUUUCUUCAAUUGAUUAGGUUCACGUGUACCUCACCCCUCUUUGAAGUACUAAG
This 373-nucleotide unclassified non-coding RNA is filed under the name Hevea brasiliensis (rubber tree). The record is from RNAcentral. Lineage: Eukaryota; Viridiplantae; Streptophyta; Magnoliopsida; Malpighiales; Euphorbiaceae.